AUGGGCGACCUGCUUCAUCAAGGAUCAAGGUACAGGCGCCGAGGCUUGGCAGCAGGGCAUAAGGGCAAAAUCGGCCUACACAGCAAAACACCCUUCAUUCAUACCUGUGACACUCACACGACCACUCGUGAAAAACACCAACAGGAAUCCGCCCCCGCCUUAGGCACUCAGCUCCUAAGUGAGUUUUGUGUGUGUUUGUGUGUUUCAGCUGGUCCCGCAGUGAAGCCCUCCGUGUCUCUGCUGCCUCCCUCUUCUCUGCAGAUCUCUGGAGACUCAGCCGCACUGCUCUGCCUGCUCAGCUCUUACUCUCCACAGGGGGCGCAGGUGAGCUGGACGCUGGACGGGUCAGAGGUCACCGAGGGGGUUCAGACCAGCGCAGAGAGCGAGCGGGACGGACGCUACAGCCGCAGCAGCGUCCUGAGCCUCAGCAAAGCACGCUGGGAAGACGCAGAGCGCUUCGUCUGCAGAGUAACACAUGACGGAGCUGCUCAAGAGACCUCGUUCCUCAAGAGCUCCGAGUGCUGAUGUUUCUCCAGUGAAGAGCAGCAGGAUUCACAGCAGUCACGUGAUUUACAGCUCAAUACUCAAGCAGUCUUUCAAUCUGCUGCCAUUGCUGUUCAUUCAAUAAAGCUUCUGAACGCCUUA
Molecule: non-coding RNA, 645 nt
Organism: Onychostoma macrolepis
Lineage: Eukaryota; Metazoa; Chordata; Actinopteri; Cypriniformes; Cyprinidae
Source: the annotation of a RefSeq genome assembly